GGAAUUGGUUAUAUGGUGGAUGU
Molecule: non-coding RNA, 23 nt
Filed under: Arabidopsis thaliana (thale cress)
Lineage: Eukaryota; Viridiplantae; Streptophyta; Magnoliopsida; Brassicales; Brassicaceae
Source: RNAcentral